GACGAGGGUCCCUAGCGUUGUUCGGAAUCAUUGGGCGUAAAGCGUGUGUAGGCGGCUUCGAAAGUCAGAUGUGAAAGCCCUGGGCUUAACCUAGGAAGUGCAUUUGAUACUACGAAGCUAGAGUAUCGGAGAGGGUAGUGGAAUUCCUGGUGUAGUGGUGAAAUACGUAGAUAUCAGGAGGAACACCGGAGGCGAAGGCGGCUACCUGGCCGAAUACUGACACUGAGGUGCGAAAGCGUGGGGAGCAAACAGGAUUAGAUACCCGAGUAGU
This 271-nucleotide ribosomal RNA is filed under the name uncultured bacterium. RNAcentral describes it as "partial 16S ribosomal RNA". It matches the Rfam family "Bacterial small subunit ribosomal RNA", at positions 524 to 794 of the family's 1533-position model. The record is from RNAcentral.